This is a long non-coding RNA of Mesocricetus auratus (golden hamster), 1138 nucleotides long. RefSeq lists it as uncharacterized. NCBI's taxonomy places the organism in Eukaryota, Metazoa, Chordata, Mammalia, Rodentia, Cricetidae. The transcript has 3 exons. The record is from RefSeq and is a predicted model, not a curated record.
AGGAUGACCAAAAGGGAGCUGCACAAGUGGGCUUCUGUUUCAUGCUUGGCAGGGAGAGCACGUGAUCCUUUCACUAUUUUAAGUAGCAGCCAUUAUCCUACCACGGCAACCAGAGCUAGGCUCCUGAGCUCCGAGAGUGGCCCUGGGUAUGAAAGAUGAGCCACAGCGCCUCGAUUACGAUGGUACCACGGUACCCUGUGCGGUAGGAGUUCCUGAAAUGCUUCUAUUGCCAUGUGGUCGGCUCUACGCUCCAGAGAGGACGCACUGAUUAAUCCUUCAGCAGCCCACUGCCUGGAUCCCAGCAGCUUCUGCAGAUUAAAAGGACGUUACCUCCAGGCCUUCAUAGUCAGUUUUUCCAAAAACAAAACAAAACAAAAAACUGGAAGAAAUGAGCCGUGACGUUUUAAGAAAAUACGAUUUCCUUAGCAAGCAGUUUCAAAUGCUUUUCAAGGUGGAACAAACCAGCCAGUCAGUUCCGCCUGCUUGUCUUAAAACUGACUGACAAAGCAGGUUUUCCGUAAGAGAAUUCUUUUUAAAACGAGAAAAUGGAGGAAAUCAACUUUCAUUGAAUUCUGUAUGGAAAAAACUCAACCAACCAUAAAGCAUUCAACUGUGCAAGGAGGAUAGAGCAAAAGCCCCUGAGAGAUUGCGCGGGUUAAUGGCUCUGACCCAGGACUGUCUGCUCCCAGCAAGCAUGAGCGCACACACUUUUGUCACCUUCCACAGGGACAGAACUUCCAUCCAUGAAUGAUUCCAGUACCUUGGAGGCCAGCAGAGGAUAUCAGAGCCUCUGGAUCCGCAGUUACAGACAGCUGUGAGAUGCCGUGCGGCUGCUGAGAACUGAACAUGUGUCCUCUGGAAGAGCAAAUGACAAGAGCGCAUCACACGACCCGACUUUUCUCUUGGGACCUGGGAAUCCACCUCAAAUCCUUGUGUUUUCAAGGCAAGCAUUUUCCUGACUGAGCAUCUCCUUGGCCCCGUGAUGGAUAUUUCUAAAGAUUCAAGCAUUUAAAAACUAUCUUAAGAUUGUCCUUUUGAUGAUCUUGAGAGGGGUCCAGGUUCCUACAUCAUCACUAACACAAAGUAACCUUUAAACCUAGUUUUGUUCCCUCACUAAACAAAUACAAAGAUAAACGGA